RNAcentral lists this long non-coding RNA (606 nucleotides) under Sorghum bicolor (sorghum). RNAcentral describes it as "long non-coding RNA (SBIC_LNC004780)". Lineage: Eukaryota; Viridiplantae; Streptophyta; Magnoliopsida; Poales; Poaceae. The record is from RNAcentral.
CACUUACCUAUAGCUAAUGGAAUAUUUAAAUGGAGCUCAUAGGAGUGGAAAACAGCUCAUACAUAUGUUGUCUAAUCGAGCCAUGGAUCCAAAAGAACUCAGCAUAUAAUUAAAUCAAGAUGUGCAUGUGUGGUGGAGUAAAUGAUAGUGAAAAUGCAUAAGUGAUAAUAAAACUUAGUUCUCAUUGCUCCUUAUAUUGCUCUCUCUCCUCUUCUUUGAUCUUUGCUUUGGGAGAACAUGGGCUAUCUUUUUCUCUCUUUUUUUCAGGUGGGUAGUAGAUACCCCUAAUUCUACUGUCGGACACUUGUCCAUUUUUUCCGCUCAAGUGGGCAUCUUUGUACCCCUAAUUCUACUUCGGACACUUGUCCAUUUUUACCUCUCGUCUCACUCUUUUUCUUUCUUUUUCGAGGUUCCAGGCACUUGCCCCUUUUUAUUUCCUCGCAUAUUUUUGCAUAACCCAUGCCUCUUCUCGAGAGAAUAACAAUAUUCGGGACAGUGAGUGAUAAUAUUUUUAGCAAUUUUAAUGAUUGGUGAUGAAUGCUGUGGUAGAUGUGUGCAAGUGAAUAUCUUAAUUUAACCACAUGAAAAGCUCCUAAGGGUCUACAC